Molecule: ribosomal RNA, 2183 nt
Filed under: Salmonella enterica subsp. enterica serovar Enteritidis
Lineage: Bacteria; Pseudomonadati; Pseudomonadota; Gammaproteobacteria; Enterobacterales; Enterobacteriaceae
Description: partial 23S ribosomal RNA
Rfam family: Bacterial large subunit ribosomal RNA
Source: RNAcentral
UGUAGCAAGGUUAACCGAAUAGGGGAGCCGGAGGGAAACCGAGUCUUAAUUGGGCGUUAAGUUGCAGGGUAUAGACCCGAAACCCGGUGAUCUAGCCAUGGGCAGGUUGAAGGUUGGGUAACACUAACUGGAGGACCGAACCGACUAAUGUUGAAAAAUUAGCGGAUGACCUGUGGCUGGGGGUGAAAGGCCAAUCAAACCGGGAGAUAGCUGGUUCUCCCCGAAAGCUAUUUAGGUAGCGCCUCGUGAAUUCAUCUCCGGGGGUAGAGCACUGUUUCGGCUAGGGGGCCAUCCCGGCUUACCAACCCGAUGCAAACUGCGAAUACCGGAGAAUGUUAUCACGGGAGACACACGGCGGGUGCUAACGUCCGUCGUGAAGAGGGAAACAACCCAGACCGCCAGCUAAGGUCCCAAAGUCAUGGUUAAGUGGGAAACGAUGUGGGAAGGCCCAGACAGCCAGGAUGUUGGCUUAGAAGCAGCCAUCAUUUAAAGAAAGCGUAAUAGCUCACUGGUCGAGUCGGCCUGCGCGGAAGAUGUAACGGGGCUAAACCAUGCACCGAAGCUGCGGCAGCGACACUGUGUGUUGUUGGGUAGGGGAGCGUUCUGUAAGCCUGUGAAGGUGUGUCGUGAGGCAUGCUGGAGGUAUCAGAAGUGCGAAUGCUGACAUAAGUAACGAUAAAGCGGGUGAAAAGCCCGCUCGCCGGAAGACCAAGGGUUCCUGUCCAACGUUAAUCGGGGCAGGGUGAGUCGACCCCUAAGGCGAGGCCGAAAGGCGUAGUCGAUGGGAAACGGGUUAAUAUUCCCGUACUUGGUGUUACUGCGAAGGGGGGACGGAGAAGGCUAUGUUGGCCGGGCGACGGUUGUCCCGGUUUAAGCGUGUAGGUGUGUGUUCCAGGUAAAUCCGGUUCACUUUAACACUGAGGCGUGACGACGAGGCACUACGGUGCUGAAGCAACAAAUGCCCUGCUUCCAGGAAAAGCCUCUAAGCAUCAGGUAACAUCAAAUCGUACCCCAAACCGACACAGGUGGUCAGGUAGAGAAUACCAAGGCGCUUGAGAGAACUCGGGUGAAGGAACUAGGCAAAAUGGUGCCGUAACUUCGGGAGAAGGCACGCUGACACGUAGGUGAAGUGAUUUACUCAUGGAGCUGAAGUCAGUCGAAGAUACCAGCUGGCUGCAACUGUUUAUUAAAAACACAGCACUGUGCAAACACGAAAGUGGACGUAUACGGUGUGACGCCUGCCCGGUGCCGGAAGGUUAAUUGAUGGGGUCAGCGCAAGCGAAGCUCCUGAUCGAAGCCCCGGUAAACGGCGGCCGUAACUAUAACGGUCCUAAGGUAGCGAAAUUCCUUGUCGGGUAAGUUCCGACCUGCACGAAUGGCGUAAUGAUGGCCAGGCUGUCUCCACCCGAGACUCAGUGAAAUUGAACUCGCUGUGAAGAUGCAGUGUACCCGCGGCAAGACGGAAAGACCCCGUGAACCUUUACUAUAGCUUGACACUGAACAUUGAGCCUUGAUGUGUAGGAUAGGUGGGAGGCUUUGAAGUGUGGACGCCAGUCUGCAUGGAGCCGACCUUGAAAUACCACCCUUUAAUGUUUGAUGUUCUAACGUGGACCCGUUACCCGGGUUGCGGACAGUGUCUGGUGGGUAGUUUGACUGGGGCGGUCUCCUCCUAAAGAGUAACGGAGGAGCACGAAGGUUGGCUAAUCCUGGUCGGACAUCAGGAGGUUAGUGCAAUGGCAUAAGCCAGCUUGACUGCGAGCGUGACGGCGCGAGCAGGUGCGAAAGCAGGUCAUAGUGAUCCGGUGGUUCUGAAUGGAAGGGCCAUCGCUCAACGGAUAAAAGGUACUCCGGGGAUAACAGGCUGAUACCGCCCAAGAGUUCAUAUCGACGGCGGUGUUUGGCACCUCGAUGUCGGCUCAUCACAUCCUGGGGCUGAAGUAGGUCCCAAGGGUAUGGCUGUUCGCCAUUUAAAGUGGUACGCGAGCUGGGUUUAGAACGUCGUGAGACAGUUCGGUCCCUAUCUGCCGUGGGCGCUGGAGAACUGAGGGGGGCUGCUCCUAGUACGAGAGGACCGGAGUGGACGCAUCACUGGUGUUCGGGUUGUCAUGCCAAUGGCACUGCCCGGUAGCUAAAUGCGGAAGAGAUAAGUGCUGAAAGCAUCUAAGCACGAAACUUGCCCCGAG